GGUUCCUUAACUUAAUUGGUAAAGUGUACCUUUGAUAAAGGUAUGUUCAGUGUUCAAUUCGCUGAGGAAUCA
Molecule: transfer RNA, 72 nt
Filed under: Endocarpon pusillum
Lineage: Eukaryota; Fungi; Ascomycota; Eurotiomycetes; Verrucariales; Verrucariaceae
Also listed under: 2 other names
Rfam family: tRNA
About the family: Transfer RNA (tRNA) molecules are approximately 80 nucleotides in length.
Source: Rfam by way of RNAcentral